UUGAAGGGCAGUGGAAAAACUCGGGAGGACUCGUCGGUCUCUGAGAUUUGACCUCUGAUUGACACAGACUCCUCCAGCCAGUGUGAGUCAGACAGCGGGGGGCUUCCAGCCAAUCGGAGGCCUGAACAGUGGCUGAGGCUGUUGCGAGCCUGGACUAACAACAGCGGCGUUGUGAGGAGGAGACAGACAACGGGACGGCUGUGGGGAGGUGGAUGACUGAAGGCUCAGAUAAGCUUCUUAUUGUGAGAACCUUAUUUGUCUGUGGAGCCAAUGGAAAAGUCCCAAAUUCCGCAUUUCCAGGGGAUUUAUUCCCCUGAAGAUGUUCGCACAGCUGCCAGAACAUCUGUUGUUACACAUACUUAUAUACCCAAACGGCACGCACACACAAAGUGUGAACUUUUACCGUGUGAGACUGACACCUCAAGGCUUGCCUUUCCCUAACCCACACAGGAACAGAGGCUAAACGUGUUGAAAGCUGGACCCAUCCCUACAUCACAGGUUUUAUAGCUCUACUGACAUGUGUCGAUCGGAGUGCCAAGAAUUGUGCAGGAAAAUACGAGGAUUAAUAUCAUCAAGAUGAGGGCGGCAGAUUUUUCAGGUAAGCCCCUGAUGCAUUUAAGCAUUAGUGAGACAGCGGUUACAUUUCACUGCCACGUUCUAUGAACUGCAAUGGGACCUGUGGGGUUUGAGCCGUGUUUGUGUAGUUGAUAGGAAGACCACAUACAAGAGACAAAGGCUGGCUUCUCUUCAACCAAAGACGGUGCACCGUGAAUUUCCCUCCUCUGAAUACACACGGAGUUGUGAUGGGGAGUAAACAGAACCCGAUCUGUUCAGAGCCAAAUCAAAUGUACUGUCAUUGGGUCUAGGUAUGGGUGCAGUUCUACACGAACACCGACUUGGGCUGCUUAUGUACAGCAAGCUGGGUGGAGUUGUUUAUCCCAAUAGAGGUAGGUACAGGUGUCUUUAAUUGGUGUCUCUCACAGUAAAUCAGCUCACGCAGAUGGGGUGCCAGGAACAACAACUCCACUCUGCAUUACACUGAACAUGGGGAGAGAUUGCCCAAUGCAAUCAUAUUCUCCUUCAGCACUGUGAACCAUCACAUCACAUGUCAUAUUCUCCUUCAGCACUGUGAACCAUCACAUCACAUGUCAUAUUCUCCUUCAGCACUGUGAACCAUCACAUCACAUGUCAUAUUCUCCUUGAGCACUGUGAACCAUCACAUCACAUGUCAUAUUCUCCUUGAGCACUGUGAACCAUCACAUGUCAUAUUCUCCUUCAGCACUGUGAACCAUCACAUCACAUGUCAUAUUCUCCUUCAGCACUGUGAACCAUCACAUCACAUGUCAUAUUCUCCUUCAGCACUGUGAACCAUCACAUCACAUGUCAUAUUCUCCUUGAGCACUGUGAACCAUCACAUCACAUGUCAUAUUCUCCUUCAGCACUGUGAACCAUCACAUCACAUCUCAUAUUCUCCUUCAGCACUGUGAACCAUCACAUCACAUGUCAUAUUCUCCUUCAGCACUGUGAACCAUCACAUCACAUGUCAUAUUCUCCUUCAGCACUGUGAACCAUCACAUCACAUGUCAUAUUCUCCUUCAGCACUGUGAACCAUCACAUCACAUGUCAUAUUCUCCUUCAGCACUGUGAACCAUCACAUCACAUGUCAUAUUCUCCUUCAGCACUGUGAACCAUCACAUCACAUGUCAUAUUCUCCUUCAGCACUGUGAACCAUCACAUCACAUGUCAUAUUCUCCUUCAGCACUGUGAACCAUCACAUCACAUGUCAUAUUCUCCUUGAGCACUGUGAACCAUCACAUCACAUGUCAUAUUCUCCUUCAGCACUGUGAACCAUCACAUCACAUGUCAUAUUCUCCUUCAGCACUGUGAACCAUCACAUCACAUGUCAUAUUCUCCUUCAGCACUGUGAACCAUCACAUCACAUGUCAUAUUCUCCUUCAGCACUGUGAACCAUCACAUCACAUGUCAUAUUCUCCUUGAGCACUGUGAACCAUCACAUCACAUGUCAUAUUCUCCUUCAGCACUGUGAACCAUCACAUCACAUCUCAUAUUCUCCUUAAGCACUGUGAACCAUCACAUCACAUGUCAUAUUCUCCUUCAGCACUGUGAACCAUCACAUCACAUGUCAUAUUCUCCUUCAGCACUGUGAACCAUCACAUCACAUGUCAUAUUCUGCUUCAACAAUGUGAACCAUCACAUCCUCCUCUCCACCCUCUUGGGCAGGACAUCUCUGGCUUGGCACAUUCUUGGACUCCAUUCUAUAUGGCAGGAAACUCCUACCAAGUGACAUGGAGAAGAUCU
Long non-coding RNA from Esox lucius (northern pike), 2319 nucleotides. RefSeq lists it as uncharacterized. The record is from RefSeq and is a predicted model, not a curated record. Lineage: Eukaryota; Metazoa; Chordata; Actinopteri; Esociformes; Esocidae. The transcript has 3 exons.